UACAGAGGGUGCGAGCGUUGUUCGGAAUUAUUGGGCGUAAAGGGCGCGUAGGCGGUGCGGUAAGUCACCUGUGAAAUCUCCUGGCUCAACUGGGAGCUUGCAGGCGAAACUGCCGUGCUGGAGUGUGGGAGAGGUGCGUGGAAUUCCCGGUGUAGCGGUGAAAUGCGUAGAUAUCAGGAGGAACACCUGUGGUGUAGACAGCUUACUGGACCAUUUCUGACGCUGAGACACGAAAGCGUGGGUAGCAAACAGG
This 253-nucleotide ribosomal RNA is filed under the name uncultured bacterium. RNAcentral describes it as "partial 16S ribosomal RNA". It matches the Rfam family "Bacterial small subunit ribosomal RNA", at positions 524 to 776 of the family's 1533-position model. The record is from RNAcentral.